GCCCGGGGCACGCCCGGCCGCUUCCCCGGGUCCGUGCCCAGCCCUCCUCGGCGGCAGAGGGCCAGGGCUCCGCCGCUCCCGGCCGCGUAGCAGGUGCCCAGCCCGCACCCCACACCUCUCUCCCGGGAGGACACCAGCAGGACAGCGAGGGCACAGGCUCCGGGCUCCACCCGCUGCGCCCCAGACCCGGGAACCCACGGCGCUGUCCCUUCCCCAGAGCCGAGGGGCGCAUCCCGGACUGGCCCCCUGCCUCGCCUCUCGGUUGCUGCUGCUUAUACCCUCUGGGCAACAGGCAACCUGAGCUCCCAGACUAGCCCACCGCCUAGCCAGCAGCGGCCUUGUGCCCAGCUUCAGGCAAGGUCAGGAGGCCUUCUGUACCAGCCGCUACUCGGAUGCCUUCAGCUUGACCUGUCCAGGCGCCAGAAGCCACAGCCCGGAAUGAACGCCCGGGCCAUCGAGGAGAAGACUGACUAGAGUUCUCCAGAGAGCUUCAAACUCCUGCCACACACUGAGUAAGCAUCCUCUUAAGACAGAAAAGAUGCCCAACAGAAAAGAGCAAGUGUUACACACACAUUUUGA
Molecule: long non-coding RNA, 579 nt
Filed under: Meriones unguiculatus (Mongolian gerbil)
Lineage: Eukaryota; Metazoa; Chordata; Mammalia; Rodentia; Muridae
Description: lncRNA (ENSMUGG00000001135.1)
Source: RNAcentral